ACGAACGCUGGCGGCGUGCUUAACACAUGCAAGUCAAGGGGGCCCGCAAGGGCAACCGGCGAACGGGUGCGUAACACGUGAGCAAGCUUCCGAUUUGUGGGGGAUAGCCGGCCCAACGGCCGGGUAAUACCGCAUACGUUCACUGGACGGCAUCGUCUGGUGAGGAAACCUCCGGGGCAAAUCGAGGCGCUCGCGGCCUAUCAGCUAGUUGGCGGGGUAAUGGCCCACCAAGGCUACGACGGGUAGCUGGUCUGAGAGGAUGGCCAGCCACAUUGGGACUGCGACACGGCCCAGACUCCUACGGGAGGCAGCAGUGGGGAAUAUUGCGCAAUGGACGAAAGUCUGACGCAGCGACGCCGCGUGUGGGAUGAAGCCUUUCGGGGCGUAAACCACUGUUGCCCGGGACGAAACUCCUUUUUCGAGAGGAUUGACGGUACCGGGUGAGGAAGCACCGGCUAACUCUGU
Molecule: ribosomal RNA, 465 nt
Filed under: uncultured bacterium
Lineage: Bacteria
Description: bacterial SSU rRNA
Rfam family: Bacterial small subunit ribosomal RNA
Source: RNAcentral